Molecule: ribosomal RNA, 422 nt
Filed under: uncultured bacterium
Lineage: Bacteria
Description: bacterial SSU rRNA
Rfam family: Bacterial small subunit ribosomal RNA
Source: RNAcentral
UGAGGAAUAUUGGGCAAUGCCCGAAAGGGUGACCCAGCAACGCCGCGUGGAGGAUGAAGGUCGUAAGAUUGUAAACUCCUGUUAGAGGGGAAGAAUAACUAAGUUUGGAGCUUAGUAUGACUGUACCCUCAGAGAAAGCCCCGGCUAACUACGUGCCAGCAGCCGCGGUAAUACGUAGGGGGCAAGCGUUGUCCGGAUUUACUGGGUGUAAAGGGCGCGCAGGCGGAAUUGAAAGUCAGUGGUGAAAUCCUACAGCUUAACUGUAGAACUGCCUUUGAUACUUUCAUUCUUGAGUUCGGGAGAGAGAGACGGAAUUCCAGGUGUAGUGGUGAAAUACGUAGAUAUCUGGAAGAACACCAGUUGCGAAGGCGGUCUCUUGGUCCGAUACUGACGCUGAGGCGCGAAAGCGUGGGGAGCAAACA